AGUGAACGCUGGCGGCGUGCUUAACACAUGCAAGUCGAACGAGAACGGGUUAUAGCUUGCUAUAAUUGUCAGCUAGGUGGCGCACGGGUGAGUAAUGUGUAGGUAAUAUGCCUCUUACUAAGGGAUAACAAUUGGAAACGAUUGCUAAUACCUUAUACUCCUUAUUAACUAAAGUUAGUAAGGGAAAGAUUUAUUGGUAAGAGAUUAGCCUGUAUUGUAUCAGUUAGUUGGUGGGGUAAUGGCCUACCAAGACUAUGACGCAUAACUGGUUUAAGAGGAUGAUCAGUCACACUGGAACUGAGACACGGUCCAGACUCCUACGGGAGGCAGCAGUGGGGAAUAUUGCACAAUGGACGAAAGUCUGAUGCAGCAACGCCGCGUGGAGGAUGACACAUUUCGGUGCGUAAACUCCUUUUAUAUAAGAAGAUAAUGACGGUAUUAUAUGAAUAAGCACCGGCUAACUCCGUGCCAGCAGCCGCGGUAA
RNAcentral lists this ribosomal RNA (484 nucleotides) under uncultured bacterium. RNAcentral's name for it is "partial 16S ribosomal RNA". It matches the Rfam family "Bacterial small subunit ribosomal RNA", at positions 29 to 523 of the family's 1533-position model. The record is from RNAcentral.